CCUACGGGAGGCAGCAGUGAGGAAUAUUGGUCAAUGGGCGAGAGCCUGAACCAGCCAAGUCGCGUGAAGGAUGAAGGAUCUAUGGUUUGUAAACUUCUUUUAUAUGGGAAUAAAGUGAGGAACGUGUUCCUUUUUGUAUGUACCAUAUGAAUAAGCAUCGGCUAACUCCGUGCCAGCAGCCGCGGUAAUACGGAGGAUGCGAGCGUUAUCCGGAUUUAUUGGGUUUAAAGGGUGCGUAGGUGGUUAAUUAAGUCAGCGGUGAAAGUUUGUGGCUCAACCAUAAAAUUGCCGUUGAGACUGGUUGACUUGAGUAUAUUUGAGGUAGGCGGAAUGCGUGGUGUAGCGGUGAAAUGCAUAGAUAUCACGCAGAACUCCGAUUGCGAAGGCAGCUUACUAAACUAUAACUGACACUGAAGCACGAAAGCGUGGGGAGCAAACAGGAUUAGAUACCCCAGUAGUC
Molecule: ribosomal RNA, 460 nt
Filed under: uncultured bacterium
Lineage: Bacteria
Description: partial 16S ribosomal RNA
Rfam family: Bacterial small subunit ribosomal RNA
Source: RNAcentral